UAGGGAAUCUUCCACAAUGGGCGCAAGCCUGAUGGAGCAACACCGCGUGAGUGAAGAAGGGUUUCGGCUCGUAAAGCUCUGUUGUUAAAGAAGAACACGUAUGAGAGUAACUGUUCAUACGUUGACGGUAUUUAACCAGAAAGUCACGGCUAACUACUUGCCAC
RNAcentral lists this ribosomal RNA (164 nucleotides) under uncultured bacterium. RNAcentral's name for it is "partial 16S rRNA". It matches the Rfam family "Bacterial small subunit ribosomal RNA", at positions 355 to 511 of the family's 1533-position model. The record is from RNAcentral.